AUUGUACGCUGGCGGCAGGCCUAACACAUGCAAGUCGAGCGGAUGAAGGGAGCUUGCUCCUGGAUUCAGCGGCGGACGGGUGAGUAAUGCCUAGGAAUCUGCCUGGUAGUGGGGAUAACGUCCGGAAACGGGCGCUAAUACCGCAUACGUCCUGAGGGAGAAAGUGGGGGAUCUUCGGACCUCACGCUAUCAGAUGAGCCUAGGUCGGAUUAGCUAGUUGGUGGGGUAAAGGCCUACCAAGGCGACGAUCCGUAACUGGUCUGAGAGGAUGAUCAGUCACACUGGAACUGAGACACGGUCCAGACUCCUACGGGAGGCAGCAGUGGGGAAUAUUGGACAAUGGGCGAAAGCCUGAUCCAGCCAUGCCGCGUGUGUGAAGAAGGUCUUCGGAUUGUAAAGCACUUUAAGUUGGGAGGAAGGGCAGUAAGUUAAUACCUUGCUGUUUUGACGUUACCAACAGAAUAAGCACCGGCUAACUUCGUG
Molecule: ribosomal RNA, 483 nt
Filed under: uncultured bacterium
Lineage: Bacteria
Description: partial 16S ribosomal RNA
Rfam family: Bacterial small subunit ribosomal RNA
Source: RNAcentral